RNAcentral lists this ribosomal RNA (460 nucleotides) under uncultured bacterium. RNAcentral describes it as "partial 16S ribosomal RNA". It matches the Rfam family "Bacterial small subunit ribosomal RNA", at positions 338 to 795 of the family's 1533-position model. The record is from RNAcentral.
CCUACGUGAGGCAGCAGUGAGGAAUAUUGGUCAAUGGGCGCGAGCCUGAACCAGCCAAGUAGCGUGAAGGCUGACUGCCCUACGGGUUGUAAACUUCUUUUAUACAGGAAUAAAGUGAGGCCCGUGUGCCUUUUUGUAUGUACUUUAUGACUAAGGAUCGGCUAACUCCGUGCCAGCAGCCGCGGUAAUACGGAGGAUCCGAGCGUUCUCCGGAUUUAUUGGGUUUCAAGGGAGCGUAGAUGGGUUGUUAAGUCAGUUGUGAAAGUUUGCGGCUCAACCGUAAAAUUGCAAUUGAUACUGGCAGCCUUGAGUACAGUUGAGGUAGGCGGAAUUCGUGGUGUAGCGGUGAAAUGCUUAGAUAGCACGAAGAACUCCGAUUGCGAAGGCAGCUUACUAAACUGCCACUGACAUUGAUGCUCGAAAGUGUGGGUAUCAAACAGGAGUAGAUACCCGAGUAGUC